UUGAGCAGGUUUCACCCCUUCACGAUCCUGCCCCAAUGAAGCAUCAACUCAUCACGGGAGAUCACUAGGGCCGCUCCUCCUCCUCUGUAGUUCCCCUUCCGGACUAAGAUUUCAUGGUGGGAUUUCAUCUAAUAAAGAUCCAACCAGUAUCUCUCUGAUGCCCAUCCUCUCCGGCCAUUGAGUCGCCUCUGCCCAAAGGAAGUUACGAUAUCCAAGUGAUUGGAACCCUAAUAUCCUUUCUUUGCAACCUUGGAAUCUUUUAGCUUCCAAUUCCAAGUUCUGACUACGCUCCAAUCAAGCAUCUAUUUUUGAUCCCAUAUGAAUCUAUUCAAGAUGGAUAUUGGUUGAUGGGAGAGCAACCUUAUGAAUCAACUGAUGGUAAUUUGAAGCAAUUCAGAUGCCUGCCGCCUUGGGUGAUGCCCACUACAAUGGACCCAUGCUAUAGUUAUAUGGCUGGGGUGGACAAUCCCGAAAAGAUUAGGGAAGAUCCUAGGAGUGAAGUCGGUUCCUAUUGCUCAUCUUGGUGAAGCUUGAUUGGGUGUCUACUUGGAUAGAAAACAAGAUGAACUAACCACGUUAGGUACUAUUGAAUUCAGAUUAUGCCCACAAAAUUUUGCUUUGACUCUAGCCGGGAACUCAUGCAUACAUCCAUCCACUACUGCACUUUAUAGGCUCCCUGUACUCGGGCUCCGAUGAUAGCAAGUAGAGACUCACAACCAGACACAUGAAGACCACCAGCGAUUUGCCGCUAACCGGCUACCUCCUCUAUUAGAUGACAAAAGUAUGACUGCUUGAGAUCGAAACAUCCAUGCAAUCUGCACGUUGGAUCAAAGAAUAAAGAGAAAUUUGGGGGAAUAUCAAAUGUGAGUUCCCCGCAUCUACUCUUCUUUUAGUUACUUUGGUGUCUUCCUGGAAGUUGUAUGAUCUGAAUGUCUGAUGUUCUGUACGAGAGCAAAGCCAGAUAUGAUUUGGCUUUGUUGCAUGUCUCCAUUAGACUUAGUUGUUUCUCCCCCGAAUUGAUAGAUGACGACUCAGUUAA
Long non-coding RNA from Triticum dicoccoides, 1039 nucleotides. RefSeq lists it as uncharacterized. NCBI's taxonomy places the organism in Eukaryota, Viridiplantae, Streptophyta, Magnoliopsida, Poales, Poaceae. The record is from RefSeq and is a predicted model, not a curated record. The transcript is spliced from 3 exons.